Molecule: long non-coding RNA, 874 nt
Filed under: Homo sapiens (human)
Lineage: Eukaryota; Metazoa; Chordata; Mammalia; Primates; Hominidae
Description: non-protein coding lnc-CD38-12:2
Source: RNAcentral
AGUACCGGGCACUGUGUGGCGUGCUUAUGCGCUCUGGCUCAUUGCACCCUCUCAGCAAGCCCGACAGUAGAGGCUGCUUUAAAUUCCUACUUUAUAGGUAAGGAGAAGGGGGGCGCAGAGAGAUAAGAACUGUCCCCUUGCUGCAGUCAGGCUUCCAGCCUCAGCCCCUUGCCUUGAAAAGGACUGAACCAAUCCCAUCCUCUUUUUUCUUUUUUUAAAGGAAUGUGGUGACAAGGAGCCCACACAGACCUCAACUUCCACCAGCCUGAAAAUGAUGCUCCCAAUUCUGCCCUUCAAACCUGUUUGUCUUGGAUUUCUUAUUUGUUUUUAUUUUAUUUCAUUAUUUUAUUUAAUGUUUUGAGACAAAGGUCACUCUGUUGCCCAGGCUGGAAUGCAGGGGCGCCAUUAUAGCUCACUGUAGCCUCUAUCACCCCAGCUCAAGUGAUCCUUCUACCUCAGCCUCCUGAGGAGCUGGGUCUAUAGGUGCAUGCCACCACACCUGGCUAAUUUUUUAAUUAUUUGUAGAGAUGAAGUCUCAUUACGUUGCCCAGGCUGAUCUUGAACUCCUGAGCUCAAGCAAUCCUCCUGCCUGGGCCUUCUAAUGUGCUGGGAUUACAGGCAUGAGCCACGGCGCUUGGCCUUGAAUUUCUAAUGUCACUGAAUCACUGAAUCAGAAAUUUAGAAAGGGGUCCAAACUGCCCACUGCCUCUGGACUGUUCUCCUGGCAGCCUAGGAAGUGUAGGCUCUUCCUGCCUGUAGCUCCAACCAGGCCAGGCCAGCCUAGUCCCCUCCAGAUUGUUCUGGAUAUAGGAGGUGACCCUGCAUCUUGACUGCCUGCCUCAGAGGUCUCAAAAAUUUUGCCCUCAGGACCCCU